GACGAAGGGGGCUAGCGUUGUUCGGAAUUACUGGGCGUAAAGGGCUCGUAGGCGGCCAACUAAGUCAGACGUGAAAUCCCUCGGCUUAACCGGGGAACUGCGUCUGAUACUGGAUGGCUAGAGGUUGGGAGAGGGAUGCGGAAUUCCAGGUGUAGCGGUGAAAUGCGUAGAUAUCGGAAGGAACACCAGUGGCGAAAGCGACUUCCUGGUCCAAUACUGACGUUCAUGUGCGAAAGCGUGGGGAGCAAACAGG
RNAcentral lists this ribosomal RNA (253 nucleotides) under uncultured bacterium. RNAcentral's name for it is "partial 16S ribosomal RNA". It matches the Rfam family "Bacterial small subunit ribosomal RNA", at positions 524 to 776 of the family's 1533-position model. The record is from RNAcentral.